Molecule: long non-coding RNA, 604 nt
Filed under: Amphimedon queenslandica
Lineage: Eukaryota; Metazoa; Porifera; Demospongiae; Haplosclerida; Niphatidae
Description: uncharacterized LOC109591858
Source: RNAcentral
UCCAUUUUACUCUCAAAGAAGACAAGGACCAGUUCUAGUUAGGCUUGAUCGAGUUAAGGGGUCUUUAGGCACUAAAAAAAGGCGCUGGAAAUGCUGUCUCAUUUACUCGCCGAUUUAGUUUAAAAAGAGAAUCAUUCUGAGGCUCUAUCACAUGAUACUAGUAGUUCUUCUGCUAUGCUCAAUACUUCAGGUAUGGGUGAUUGGGACGAAGAGCAUGAGCCAUUUUGUGCAUAGAUAUAGGAUCGGCUGUUGGGAAACAUACAUUAGUGUUAGUGUGGUAUGGUUGACCGAAGGAUGAUCAGUUACAGACAGAUCGUCAUGUGAUUUGUGCUGAAUUUCGAUUCAAUCCCAGUUUUGAGUCCUGUAAUCGUAACUCAAGUUUAUUAGUUACUAGAUACAGAAGCUCGUACUAGCAUUUUUCUUGUACUGGUAUAUUACCAUCACAGUACUGCCAUAUUUUUGUCGGCAUCACUGGGCACAGUUGGGAAGAGGUACACAGAUACAGGAGGCUCCUCACCAUCCCAAUAUCUAUUCAACCCUAUAUACAUAAUGUUUAUAUUUUUAAAAAUUUAGAAUAAUAUUUUUGUAUUUACUUCUUCCAGUA